AUCACUCUUCAAACCUCCUAACUAUCAGCAGAAGUUGUUAGAUUAAAAAGAAAAAGGGGCUGCUGUGACUGUAAAUGAAGUGCAACACAUGAAUGUAUUCCCCCUCGAGAAAUUCAAUAAACUAUUUUGCCAUCGAGUGCAUUAAGAUUUCAUCAUACAGUGAAAUCAUUCCUCUGAUUCUUUCCAGACUAGUGUCACCAACUGACAGCUACUUGAGAAUGAACAAAAGACACAUAGUUACUGCAUGUUUCAAGACCUCCUGUCUCUACAGAGGUUCACUGAGGGAUUUAUAGCUUGAUGAAAAUCAAAGGACUCGGAGCCAAAUGAGAACAGGUCUCUCAUGUAAGUGAUCUCUCUUGACAAUCAGUGGUUUCAUUAAUGAGGAAGUUUUGU
This 393-nucleotide long non-coding RNA is filed under the name Coturnix japonica (Japanese quail). Its description in RNAcentral is "lncRNA (ENSCJPG00005017624.1)". The record is from RNAcentral. Lineage: Eukaryota; Metazoa; Chordata; Aves; Galliformes; Phasianidae.